CGUAGGUGGCAAGCGUUGUCCGGAUUUACUGGGCGUAAGGGGUGCGUAGGUGGUUUCUUAAGUCAGAGGUGAAAGGCUACGGCUCAACCGUAGUAAGCCUUUGAAACUGGGGAACUUGAGUACAGGAGAGGAGAGUGGAAUUCCUAGUGUAGCGGUGAAAUGCGUAGAUAUUAGGAGGAACACCAGUAGCGAAGGCGGCUCUCUGGACUGUAACUGACGCUGAGGCACGAAAGCGUGGGGAGCAAACAGGAUUAGAUACCCUGGUAGUCCCUGAG
RNAcentral lists this ribosomal RNA (275 nucleotides) under uncultured prokaryote. Its description in RNAcentral is "partial 16S ribosomal RNA". It matches the Rfam family "Bacterial small subunit ribosomal RNA", at positions 526 to 801 of the family's 1533-position model. The record is from RNAcentral.